This is a long non-coding RNA of Cervus elaphus (red deer), 239 nucleotides long. RefSeq lists it as uncharacterized. The record is from RefSeq and is a predicted model, not a curated record. Lineage: Eukaryota; Metazoa; Chordata; Mammalia; Artiodactyla; Cervidae. The transcript has 3 exons.
CUGUACUGCAAGGUCAAAUUUUCCUGUUACUCCAGAAAUUUCUUCAUUGGCUUCCUACUUUUGCAUUCCAGUCCCGUAUAAUGAAAAGGACAUCUUUCUUGGGUGUUAUAGAAUGUCUUGUAUGUCUUCAGUGAACCAUUCAACUUCAACUUCUUCAGCAUUACUGGUCAGGACAUAGACUUGGAUAACUGUGAUAUUGAGUGGUUUGCACUGGAAAGAGAUCAUUCUGUCGUUUUUGA